RNAcentral lists this long non-coding RNA (1053 nucleotides) under Fragaria vesca (wild strawberry). RNAcentral's name for it is "long non-coding RNA (FVES_LNC004472)". Lineage: Eukaryota; Viridiplantae; Streptophyta; Magnoliopsida; Rosales; Rosaceae. The record is from RNAcentral.
AAGAGCCUCCAGAGACGACUCAAUGUCCAUUUCCACUUCCACUCCAUUAAUUUCGUAACUCUUCAUGUAGUUAAUUUGUAUUAUUUUGAAAAAUAUCGAAGUCUUUUUCACCAUUUAUAUGAAAUCCUAAUGAAGCACUAUAAAAUUACAAGCUUUCCAACUUCAAAACUUCAAUAUAUGAAUUCAAGUUCAACCAGACCCCUCAAAAGAUCACCUAAAUUGAUACCCAAAACCAGAAAUCUAGAGAAUCAUUUAUCAGACUAUCUGGGAUAUAUUCCUUUGUGGGUUAAUUAACAGAUUUUUAAACAAUAGAUGUAUAUGUUAAAUCAUGAUGGGGGAAAAUCAAAUGAACAUUGACAUAUAUAAGAAGAUGAUUAGCAAGAAAGAAAGUUCACUGGGGGCAACUGCCCCCACUCGACCCCUCUGUGUCCGCCUGUGUCCACAUGCAUCUUGACCGUUCAGUUUAUAGAUAUUUAUGAGUAGAUCAUUUCUGUAAAUUUUCAGUCAUAUUGAAAAUCGUUAAGACAUUUAUAAGUGUGAUUUACCAAUUAUGAACUUGAACGGUUCAUGUUUGACAGAUUUGGUUCGUCUAUUAACUUGAUCUAGUUUGUUACCUUAACGAUCACCGAUUUGGCUAAAAAUUUAUAGGGUUGAUCUACACAUAUAAACCUAAAAACUGAACGGAUGAGAUGUCAAGAUGUGAUAAAAAAAAAUAGGUAUUUUAAACCAUAAAUCGAAAAGUCCUUAACUAGUCCUCAACUUAAAGGUUCUCACUAGAAGAGCUCCUGUUAAAUAUAUAUCUUAGUCUUCUUACUCUUCUAGAAUCAAUAAAUUUUUCUAAGGAACUAAGGAAGACGGAGCCCUUCUAGUGAGGACUCUUAAGUUGAGGACUUGUUGAGGACUUUUUGGCUUAUCCCAUCUUUCGAUCUUAUAUCCACAUCUUGACCGUUUAGUUUGUAGGUAUUUAUAAGUAGAUCAUUGUUCCAAAUUUUCAGCUAUAUUAAACAUUGUUAAGGCAUUCGUAAGUGUGAUUUAUCAAUUAUGAACUUGAAC